Molecule: ribosomal RNA, 253 nt
Filed under: uncultured bacterium
Lineage: Bacteria
Description: partial 16S ribosomal RNA
Rfam family: Bacterial small subunit ribosomal RNA
Source: RNAcentral
UACGGAGGGGGCUUGCGUUGUUCGGCAUUACUGGGCGUAAAGCGCGCGUAGGCGGACCGGUAAGUCGGGGGUGAAAGCCCGAGGCUCAACCUCGGAAUUGCCUCCUAUACUGCCAGUCUCGAGUCCGGGAGAGGUGAGUGGAAUUCCUAGUGUAGAGGUGAAAUUCGUAGAUAUUAGGAAGAACACCAGUGGCGAAGGCGGCUCACUGGCCCGGUACUGACGAUGAUGCGCGAGAGCGUGGGGAGCAAACAGG